ACCCAUGUGAACUUAUCAUAUUGUUGCCUCGGCGUAGCUGGGGAGACAUGGACCUUUCACCUAGUGAUUGGGACGUUUCUUCAGCCGCCGGUGGACAAACCAAACUCUGUUUUUAUUGAAUCUCUGAGUGAUUAUUAAAUAAAUCAAAACUUUCAACAACGGAUCUCUUGGUUCUGGCAUCGAUGAAGAACGCAGCGAAAUGCGAUAAGUAAUGUGAAUUGCAGAAUUCAGUGAAUCAUCGAAUCUUUGAACGCACAUUGCGCCCAUUAGUAUUCUAGUGGGCAUGCCUGUUCGAGCGUCAUUUCAACCCCUAAGCCUAGCUUAUUGUUGGGAGGCUGCGGUAAAACGCACCUCCUCAAAGUCAGUGGCGGAGAGACAGUGUCCUCUGAGCGUAGUAAAUCUUUUUCUCGCUUUUGUCAGGUGCAGUCCCCCUUGCCAUUAAACACCCAAUUUCUAAUGGUUGACCUCGGAUCAGGUAGGAAUACCCGCUGAACUUAAGCAUAUCAAUAAGCGGAGGAAAAGAAACCAACAGGGAUUCCCCUAGUAACGGCGAGUGAAGCGGGAACAGCUCAAAUUUGAAAUCUGGCACUUGUGUCCGAGUUGUAAUUUGUAGAGGAUGAUUUUGGCGCGGUGCCUUCCGAGUUCCCUGGAACGGGACGCCUUAGAGGGUGAGAGCCCCGUACGGUUGGACACCAAGCCUUUGUAAAUCUCCUUCGACGAGUCGAGUAGUUUGGGAAUGCUGCUCAAAAUGGGAGGUACAUUUCUUCUAAAGCUAAAUAUUGGCCAGAGACCGAUAGCGCACAAGUAGAGUGAUCGAAAGAUG
This 823-nucleotide ribosomal RNA is filed under the name uncultured fungus. Its description in RNAcentral is "eukaryotic LSU rRNA". The stretch from base 462 to 823 matches the Rfam family "Eukaryotic large subunit ribosomal RNA", at positions 1 to 366 of the family's 3401-position model. The record is from RNAcentral. Lineage: Eukaryota; Fungi.